CGGGACGGGUGAGUAAUGUCUGGGAAACUGCCUGAUGGAGGGGGGUAACUACUGGAAACGGUAGCUAAUACCACAUAACGUCGCAAGACCAAAGAGGGGGACCUUCGGGCCUCUUGCCAUCGGAUGUGCCCAGAUGGGAUUAGCUAGUAGGUGGGGUAACGGCUCACCUAGGCGACGAUCCCUAGCUGGUCUGAGAGGAUGACCAGCCACACUGGAACUGAGACACGGUCCAG
Molecule: ribosomal RNA, 233 nt
Filed under: uncultured bacterium
Lineage: Bacteria
Description: partial 16S ribosomal RNA
Rfam family: Bacterial small subunit ribosomal RNA
Source: RNAcentral